CAGCAGCCACGGUAAAACGAAGGGUGCAAGCGUUACUCGGAAUUACUGGGCGUAAAGCGUGCGUAGGUGGUGGUUUAAGUCCGUUGUGUAAGCCCUGGGCUCAACCUGGGAAUUGCAGUGGAUACUGGAUCACUAGAGUGUGGUAGAGGAUAGUGGAAUUUCCGGUGUAGCAGUGGAAUGCGUAGAGAUCGGAAGGAACAUCUGUGGCGAAGGCGACUAUCUGGGCCAACACUGACACUGAGGCACGAAAGCGUGGGGAGCAAACAGGAUUAGAUACCCCAGUAGUCCCUGUCUCUUAUAC
RNAcentral lists this ribosomal RNA (301 nucleotides) under uncultured bacterium. RNAcentral's name for it is "partial 16S ribosomal RNA". It matches the Rfam family "Bacterial small subunit ribosomal RNA", at positions 509 to 807 of the family's 1533-position model. The record is from RNAcentral.